CCACAACAGUCCCAGAGUUAAGCUGAGCAGUGACGUGAGUGGCGGUGACUCGAAGCAGUGAACCUCAAGAACGAAGCUAGGGACUCAUUGAGGCGUCGGGCAGAUCAGAUCAGGUCGCCGCGUCGCCCCUUGAGCACCGCUGGGCUGCGUGGAGGCUUGGUGGAGGCCCAUACCGCGAAAAGUUAUCAUAUUAAAUGCAUAUUAGUGUCAUUAUUGCGUGCUAUGAUCGUUACCAGCGCGAAAUAGUGGUGCGAGGAGUCAACAGGGCGGUGGAACUGAGUGGUAGCUGAUGAGGCGUGGUGUCCCUGCCUGCCUGCCUGCCUCAUGGCCACCGCCGGGCGUCUCUGCGUGCAAGGUGUUGAUGGUUCACGGUCCUGCGUUUUUAGGAGGUGGAAGUGUUGCGUCAUCGUCACCGUCACCGUCACCGUCACUGUCAGCGCGCUUACUUACGACACAGUUACGAUGGUGUGACAGAGUUAUUUGGUGUUGUGUUGAUGAAUUUUCUCCGAGCACAAACCUGUAUAGCAGAAUGCACCUGGAGAAUGACUGCAGCCUGUUGGUGCCAUGUCACCUCUUGUGACAUGGCAGCCACAGCAGCACCAGCAGCACUGUUUGAGGAUGGUGCUGCUGUGAAGCUGGUGGCAUAGAAGCUGACCAGAGUGCUACAGGAGGAUAGCACACAGCAGCAGCAGCAGGACUGUCAGUGUUUUUUAUUUAAGCUUCACUAUCUUU
Scylla paramamosain (green mud crab) is the source of this 732-nucleotide long non-coding RNA. RefSeq lists it as uncharacterized. The record is from RefSeq and is a predicted model, not a curated record. Lineage: Eukaryota; Metazoa; Arthropoda; Malacostraca; Decapoda; Portunidae. The transcript has 4 exons.